UGCCCUAGUAACGGCGAGUGAAGCGGCAACAGCUCAAAUUUGAAAUCUGGCGCAAGCCCGAGUUGUAAUUUGUAGAGGAUGCUUCUGGGUAGCGACCGAUCUAAGUUCCUUGGAACAGGACGUCAUAGAGGGUGAGAAUCCCGUAUGUGACCGGCCCGCACCCUUUACGUAGCUCCUUCGACGAGUCGAGUUGUUUGGGAAUGCAGCUCUAAAUGGGAGGUAAAUUUCUUCUAAAGCUAAAUACCGGCCAGAGACCGAUAGCGCACAAGUAGAGUGAUCGAAAGAUGAAAAGUACUUUGGAAAGAGAGUUAAAAAGCACGUGAAAUUGUUGAAAGGGAAGCGCCUGCAACCAGACUUCGUGGCAGUGUUCCGCCGGUCUUCUGACCGGUUCAUUCUCUGUCGCGAGGCCAUCAUCGUCUGGGCCCGCCGGAUAAGACCUGAGGAAUGUGGCUCCCCCUCGGGGGAGUGUUAUAGCCUCUGGUGAUGCGGCGAGGCUCGGGCGAGGUCCGCGCUUCGGCAAGGAUGAUGGCGUAAUGGUUGUCGGCGGCCCGUCUUGAAACACGGACCAAGGAGUCUAACAUCUAUGCGAGUGUUCGGGUGUCAAACCCCUACGCGUAAUGAAAGUGAACGGAGGUGGGAACCGCAAGGUGCACCAUCGACCGAUCCUGAUGUCCUCGGAUGGAUUUGAGUAAGAGCAUAGCUGUUGGGACCCGAAAGAUGGUGAACUAUGCCUGAAUAGGGUGAAGCCAGAGGAAACUCUGGUGGAGGCUCGCAGCGGUUCUGACGUGCAAAUCGAUCGUC
This 801-nucleotide ribosomal RNA is filed under the name Cercospora coniogrammes. RNAcentral's name for it is "eukaryotic LSU rRNA". It matches the Rfam family "Eukaryotic large subunit ribosomal RNA", at positions 76 to 906 of the family's 3401-position model. The record is from RNAcentral. Lineage: Eukaryota; Fungi; Ascomycota; Dothideomycetes; Mycosphaerellales; Mycosphaerellaceae.